This 22-nucleotide microRNA is filed under the name Macacine gammaherpesvirus 4 (Rhesus lymphocryptovirus). RNAcentral's name for it is "rlcv-miR-rL1-21-5p". Its record names the gene rlcv-miR-rL1-21-5p. The record is from miRBase by way of RNAcentral. Lineage: Duplodnaviria; Heunggongvirae; Peploviricota; Herviviricetes; Herpesvirales; Orthoherpesviridae.
UUGAUUGUGGGGGGAGGGCUCU